Corapipo altera (White-ruffed manakin) is the source of this 1878-nucleotide long non-coding RNA. RefSeq lists it as uncharacterized. NCBI's taxonomy places the organism in Eukaryota, Metazoa, Chordata, Aves, Passeriformes, Pipridae. The record is from RefSeq and is a predicted model, not a curated record. The transcript has 3 exons.
AGCCUGGAGUUAUAAAUAUGGAACUUCAAAAUGGUGUGAGGUUUUUUGUUUGGUUGGUUGUUGUUUCUGGAAUAGAUAGCAUAGAACUGAAGGUUGGCCCAUUGUCAGGUUAGCAGGCUUCCUUUGUGGCGAUUCCUUCCCUCUUCUGUGAAGUUUUAAUCUUCAAAAUAUCAAAUAGAAAAACGAGCAAGAAAACCAAAGGCAAACAAAACCCCCAUAGCUGUCCUUUCAAGAUCAUUAUCAAUGUCCUUGAAAAGAUGGACAGGUCCGUUCAGCCCUUUACUGUAUAUAAUUACACUUAGUGUGUAGAACCAGGAAUGAGGCAGUUUAGGCAAAAUGGAAUCUGGUAAGGAUGACAGUACUUGAUUUCUCCCUGUUGGAAAUCUGGGAACGUCCCCAGCCUAAACAGUGUACGUUUAUUUAUCCCACAGUGGCUUGUUCCAUGUGGACCUCUUCUAAGUUAGUGGACCCAGUUGUUUGGGGGAACAUAAGCUGAAGGAAAAAUCAGAUACUUAACUCUGGCAUUAGGCUUUCAUGGAAUGAGGAGGAAGAACAUUCAGUGUUAGAUUGUUGAGACAACUGAGUAGUGAAUCAUAACCUUAAUGCCUAUUUUGUUCCAACUGCCAAAUAAAAUCAUAUUAUUGGAAUGAAGUAGCAUAUAUCCUGCUACGGCACAAGAAUACUUGGCAGUUAGCAGCCAAUCCUUUCACUAAGCUCUAUGGCCAGGGACUGUAAGGGAAGAGCAGAACUUGCAAAUAUUAGGUUGGCAGAGUCUUGAAAAUAAAAGCAACAUGAAUGGUAAAAUUCAUUCAGUAAAUAUCUUUAUUCCCAGGCUAAUACAGAUUUUUAACUGUAAUGUUUUUGUUCAAAUUCUCUAUAUUCAUGUUAACCAAAUGUGCAGGGUAUUAUUGUUGUAGCUUUUUUUACACUUACUCUACACCAUCAAACUCAUCACUGUUUUUGGUAUUAAUUUCCUUUGAGGUAGACCAUCUCUGGUCUCUGUUUUGCAGAUUCUAUUUUCUGUCUGAGGUCUCUGGGCAUAAAUCAAAUCCAUGUCUGAUGACUUGAUGACUGCCUUAGUUAGUGUAUCCUAAACUGAACUCCUUUCAGGUUUUCCCUUCCCUAUUCCGUCAUCAUCUCAUUGCUCUUGCUUCUUCCUUUGCCAUCAUCGUACUGUUUUCCUACAAUAUCUCAUGGUGUGCCGUGAAAUCAACACAUUGUUUUUUAAGAUCUGGUCAGUUCCACUGGUGCUUACUCCGUGGAGCUGUUGAUUUCUGUAUUGACUGUACAGACAGGAUCUGCCCAACUUUGUGUGCCCGUGAAGCACAUACCACAGUGGGACUUCCAGAGUGCACACACUCGCAUCGCGCAGGAUGCGGGGCUGCAGUAACGCAUCCCUCUGACGCACGAUGGCAUAACAGAAGGUACUGCUGAGGCAGGACAUGGGGGUGGGGAGGUGAGGAAAUAAAGCAAACAAUGUUGAACUGCCUGACAUCUUAAAUGACAGAAAAACCGUCAGCCUGUGGGAAGUCACGAUUUAGUGUUGCAGCUCCUUGACAGGGUAUGACAGUUUAGGAUCAUCUGCAUAAAUCUGAGGUAUUGCUGAAAGCAGAAGUGGCUAAACUUGCUCAAACUUCCAAAGAAACUGAAUUGAAGUCGAGAGAGAGAAAUAGAGCAGGACGAAUAGGAGGGUGCCAGGCUGAUCACUACAACUGUUUAAAAUAGAAAAGCAGAUGGAACAAAUAGAAAGAUUUACCACACAGCUUGAUCUCUCCCCCUGAAGCAGCCAUUCAUCAUCAGCACCGCGGAGACAAACUGCGAAACAAGUUUCCCUUUGUGGCUCUGAUUGGGCUUGGAGAGGUGGCAGAGCUGCACGAC